RNAcentral lists this long non-coding RNA (411 nucleotides) under Vombatus ursinus (common wombat). Its description in RNAcentral is "lncRNA (ENSVURG00010006256.1)". The record is from RNAcentral. Lineage: Eukaryota; Metazoa; Chordata; Mammalia; Diprotodontia; Vombatidae.
GAUUUGGGAACUCUUUAUAAAGUACGGUUGGGUUUGGAGAGUUUGCAUUCCAGCACAUCACAGCUGUCUGUUCAUCAUUUUAAAAUGCAGAAUAAAGCAACCUUGGAUACCUUUAGUUGUUCUAUAAAUAAGACACUUCCUCUUUCUUUUAAUGGAGACAGAUGCAUUGAGUUCCCUGUCGAGUGGCCAUUAAAGGAAGCACUGUCUGUUGUUAGAUAUCAGGUGACAGUCUUCUCGAGCAAUUUUUUCCACUUGAAGAGUUUAGUUCAAGUCAGUAUCUGCAUCUUUGGAAACAAUGGAGACACAGGAGAUCGGGCUCUGCUUCUCCCUAUUGAGGAUUCACAACAGCAGAAAGAUGACAAAGAGUCUUUUGUCCUGGAGGCUGUUGAUCUGGGAGAACUACAGUAUGCC